AAGGAACGUUGAAGACGACGACGUUGAUAGGCCGGGUGUGUAAGCGCAGCGAUGCGUUGAGCUAACCGGUACUAAUGAACCGUGAGGCUUAACCUUACAACGCCGAAGCUGUU
Molecule: ribosomal RNA, 113 nt
Filed under: Escherichia coli
Lineage: Bacteria; Pseudomonadati; Pseudomonadota; Gammaproteobacteria; Enterobacterales; Enterobacteriaceae
Also listed under: 3 other names
Description: partial 23S ribosomal RNA
Rfam family: Bacterial large subunit ribosomal RNA (bases 1-96)
Source: RNAcentral